This is a non-coding RNA of Cricetulus griseus (Chinese hamster), 1503 nucleotides long. NCBI's taxonomy places the organism in Eukaryota, Metazoa, Chordata, Mammalia, Rodentia, Cricetidae. The record is from RefSeq and is a predicted model, not a curated record.
CAGUGGCGGAAGUGGACUCCACCUUCUAAUACCUGAAUAGGUCCUUCAUAUCCAACUCCACUCUCUAAGCAGUACAUGGUUCACUAUAAACACGUCAGUCAGAAGGGACUCGUCUACACUGAGAAGACAUUAUCUUGCUAAUAGCAUCUAAGAAAGGAUUUUUUGGAACCCAGUUUGGCCUUGAACUCACUAUACAUCCAAGGCUGGGCAUGAACUCCUGAUCUUCCUGCCUCCACCUUCCAAGUGCUGGAAUUACAGACAUUGGUCACCGUGCCCAGUUUGCUUGUUAGCAUUUGAGUGAAUAAUGGAGUGAAUGAAUUGCAUAAGGGAACCAACAAGUCAGUGAACUUCCUUCCAGUCUGGAAGAAUUAACUCAAUCAAGGAAGGAAAGUUUAGCUUAUAUCAGGAAGAAGGAAUUUUAAUUUCAUUCAUUCAUCACCUCUUCACCAGUCAUACAACCUAAGGAAGAGUAAUCUGCAAGGUUUCCAUGACAACCUUGCUCCAAGGAUGCUUUCUGGAACAUCCUUCCAAGAACAUAUUCCAAUCCCAAUCUUGCUUUACAAUGAAUGUCUAAUUGAACUGAAAUGAAUCAUUACUAAGACAAAUACUUAAUGUUUUCAUCAUUUCAUUUUUCCUGUGAACUUUAUUUUUGUUUAAUUUUCCAAAAUUGUGUAUGAUCCAGCAAUAGUGUUGCCAUUCUCUGUAUUCUCAACUAUUAGACUAUGUGUUCCACAAAGAACAGGACAUUUACUUGUUUCAUUCAGUUAUAUGUUACAAUCACCCUGAACAUUGGCAAACAAUGACCACUAAAUAACAUUCCUUUCAUUUGUCAAUUCUCCAUCUACCUAAGUUAAAUACAAUGUAGCCCUUGACGCUGUUGUUGUGAUUCUUUGCCUACUGUCACUCCUUGUUACAAAACUAGAUACUGCAUUUUCCAAAAAAUGUAUUCCAUAUUCAAAGGCCCUGUCUGGAAAGAACACUGUAAAGUGUCAAGUGAAAUUAUUUAGUCAUGCUUUGGAUUGUUAUUUGGGUGUCCUUUGGGACACACUGCAAGACUACCACUGAGUGCUGGAGCUGAAGGGUGUCAAGUUACUACAAUUCAUCAAAUGCAAGACAAAAUUUCUGAAGAUACGUCUGGAGUUGCUCAGACAUUCACCAUGACCAUGAGAGUUGAUGCCAUAAGUCCCUGCACUUACAAGCAGGCUCCAGAAUUUGAUGAAGAGAGGAAACAUAGGUCAAGCUCUUCAUCUGUCCAACUUUAAAAGUCUAUCUACAUUAGCCAUCCAUUGGUACAAUAUAGCUUCCAAGUCUGCAAAUUGUAUUUGGCACCCACAUGAAAAUCAGUUGAGUAAGAGAUGUGUGAGGAAAUGUUAUUAUUUUUUAGUUGUGGCAAAAUAGAUAGCAUAAAAUAUAGUAUAUUAGCCAUUAAAUAUACAACUCAAAGGUAUUAAAUAUGUUCAUUUUGCUGUACAACAACAACAAAAAAAAACCUUUUUGUGUGGU